GGCUGCGGGGCGGGCGGCCCCGCUUUCCUCUCCGGCGGAGCGUCCCGUUCCCCAGCCUCCAGGCGGGGGUGAGGGUUCUCGCUGUGCCAUUCAGGCUGUCCUUAAACUCGCUGUGUGUCCCAGGCUGGCCUCCAACUCCCGGCGAUCCUUGAGAGACAACGCCCUGCUUGUUCGGUUGCAACAUGUUCCGG
Fukomys damarensis (Damara mole-rat) is the source of this 191-nucleotide long non-coding RNA. RefSeq lists it as uncharacterized. The record is from RefSeq and is a predicted model, not a curated record. NCBI's taxonomy places the organism in Eukaryota, Metazoa, Chordata, Mammalia, Rodentia, Bathyergidae. The transcript has 2 exons.